RNAcentral lists this ribosomal RNA (492 nucleotides) under uncultured bacterium. RNAcentral's name for it is "partial 16S ribosomal RNA". It matches the Rfam family "Bacterial small subunit ribosomal RNA", at positions 29 to 507 of the family's 1533-position model. The record is from RNAcentral.
AGUGAACGCUGGCGGUAGGCCUAACACAUGCAAGUCGAACGGCAGCACAGUAAGAGCUUGCUCUUACGGGUGGCGAGUGGCGGACGGGUGAGGAAUACAUCGGAAUCUACUUUUUCGUGGGGGAUAACGUAGGGAAACUUACGCUAAUACCGCAUACGACCUACGGGUGAAAGCAGGGGAUCUUCGGACCUUGCGCGAUUGAAUGAGCCGAUGUCGGAUUAGCUAGUUGGCGGGGUAAAGGCCCACCAAGGCGACGAUCCGUAGCUGGUCUGAGAGGAUGAUCAGCCACCCUGGAACUGAGACACGGUCCAGACUCCUACGGGAGGAGGCAGUGGGGAAUAUCGGACAAUGGGCGCAAGCUUGAUCCAGCCCUACCGCGUGGGUGAAGAAGGCCUUCGGGUUUUAAAGCCCUUUUGUUGGGAAAGAAAAGCAGCAGGUUAAUACCCCGCUGUUCUGACGGUACCCAAAGAAUAAGCACCGGCUAACUUCGUG